This 204-nucleotide ribosomal RNA is filed under the name uncultured Halobacteria archaeon. Its description in RNAcentral is "partial 16S ribosomal RNA". It matches the Rfam family "Archaeal small subunit ribosomal RNA", at positions 21 to 226 of the family's 1478-position model. Lineage: Archaea; Methanobacteriati; Methanobacteriota; Halobacteria. The record is from RNAcentral.
AGGCCAUUGCUAUCGGAGUCCGAUUUAGCCAUGCUAGUUGCACGAGUUUAGACUCGUAGCAUAUAGCUCAGUAACACGUGGCCAAACUACCCUACAGACCGCGAUAACCUCGGGAAACUGAGGCCAAUAGCGGAUAUAACUCUCAGGCUGGAGUGCCGAGAGUUAGAAACGUUCCGGCGCUGUAGGAUGUGGCUGCGGCCGAUU